AGAUUAAGUUAUUAAGGGCGCACGGUGGAUGCCUUGGCACUAGAAGCCGAUGAAGGACGUUACUAACGACGAUAUGCUGUGGGGAGCUGUAAGUAAGCUGUGAUCCAGAGAUUUCCGAAUGGGGGAACCCAGCACGAGUUAUGUCGUGUUAUCCGCAUGUGAAUACAUAGCAUGUGAGAAGGUAGACCCGGAGAACUGAAACAUCU
RNAcentral lists this ribosomal RNA (206 nucleotides) under Staphylococcus agnetis. RNAcentral describes it as "partial 23S ribosomal RNA". It matches the Rfam family "Bacterial large subunit ribosomal RNA", at positions 1 to 203 of the family's 2925-position model. The record is from RNAcentral. Lineage: Bacteria; Bacillati; Bacillota; Bacilli; Caryophanales; Staphylococcaceae.